GACGAACGCUGGCGGCGUGCUUAACACAUGCAAGUCGAACGGAAAGGCCCUGCUUGCAGGGUACUCGAGUGGCGAACGGGUGAGUAACACGUGGGUGAUCUGCCCUGCACUUCGGGAUAAGCCUGGGAAACUGGGUCUAAUACCGGAUAGGAGCCAUUUUUAGUGUGAUGGUUGGAAAGUUUUUUCGGUGUAGGAUGAGCUCGCGGCCUAUCAGCUUGUUGGUGGGGUAAUGGCCUACCAAGGCGGCGACGGGUAGCCGGCCUGAGAGGGUGGACGGCCACAUUGGGACUGAGAGACGGCCCAGACUCCUACGGGAGGCAGCAGUGGGGAAUAUUGCACAAUGGGCGCAAGCCUGAUGCAGCGAAGCCGCGUGGGGGAUGACGGCCUUCGGGUUGUAAACUCCUUUCGCUAGGGACGAAGCUUUUUGUGACGGUACCUAGAUAAGAAGCACCGGCUAACUACGUG
Molecule: ribosomal RNA, 465 nt
Filed under: uncultured bacterium
Lineage: Bacteria
Description: partial 16S ribosomal RNA
Rfam family: Bacterial small subunit ribosomal RNA
Source: RNAcentral